This 564-nucleotide ribosomal RNA is filed under the name Ceratocystiopsis minuta. RNAcentral describes it as "eukaryotic LSU rRNA". It matches the Rfam family "Eukaryotic large subunit ribosomal RNA", at positions 74 to 654 of the family's 3401-position model. The record is from RNAcentral. Lineage: Eukaryota; Fungi; Ascomycota; Sordariomycetes; Ophiostomatales; Ophiostomataceae.
AUUGCCUCAGUAACGGCGAGUGAAGCGGCAACAGCUCAAAUUUGAAAUCUGGCUCCCCUUGGGGGUCCGAGUUGUAAUUUGGAGAGGAUGUUUCUGGCGCGGCGCCUUCCGGAGUUCCUUGGAACAGGACGCCACAGAGGGUGAGAGCCCCGUACGGUCGGCCGCCAAACCUCCAAAAGAAACUCCUUCGACGAGUCGAGUAGUUUGGGAAUGCUGCUCAAAAUGGGAGGUAAAUUUCUUCUAAAGCUAAAUACCGGCCAGAGACCGAUAGCGCACAAGUAGAGUGAUCGAAAGAUGAAAAGCACCUUGAAAAGAGGGUUAAACAGUACGUGAAAUUGUUGAAAGGGAAGCGCCUGCGACCAGACUCGCGCCCCGCGGACCAGCCGGCGUUCUCGCCGGUGCACUCCGCGGGGUGCGGGCCAGCAUCGGUUUUCCCUGGGGGAGAAAGGCCGCGGGAACGUAGCUCCUUCGGGAGUGUUAUAGCCCGUGGCGUCAUGCCCCAGGGGGGACCGAGGACCGCGCUUCGGCAAGGAUGCUGGCGUAAUGGUCGUCGGCGACCCGUCU